RNAcentral lists this long non-coding RNA (1341 nucleotides) under Carassius auratus (goldfish). RNAcentral describes it as "lncRNA (ENSCARG00000012820.1)". The record is from RNAcentral. Lineage: Eukaryota; Metazoa; Chordata; Actinopteri; Cypriniformes; Cyprinidae.
AUGCGUAGAUGCAGCUCUGGCCCCGCUCAGGCUGCAGGGCAUACGUAUUCUGAAUUACCUGGACGACUGGUUGAUUUUAGCAGAAUCAGAACAGUUGGCGGUUCGGCAUCGAGAUGUCGUCCUCGCUCAUAUGCAAAAGUUGGGUUUGAGGCUCAAUACCAAGAAGAGUGUGCUAUCUCCAUUACAGAGGACCACUUUUCUUGGGGUGGUAUGGGAUUCGGUCACGAUGCGAGCCUCUCUUUCGCCCGCUCGUGUAGCCAACAUCCUCGUAGCCACUUCGGAGCUAAAGCUAGGCCAGUCACGCACUGUAAAACAGUUCGAGAGAUUGUUGGGUCUCAUGGCAGCAGCGUCCAAUGUGAUCCCCUUUGGCCUGCUGGGCAUGAGACCUUUACAGUGGUGGCUCAGGACCAGAGGGUUCUCCCCGAGGGGAAACCCACUUCGUACGAUCAAGAUCACGCGGCGGUGUCUCCGCGCCUUGGUCAUAUGGAGAGAACACUGGUUCCUGUCCCAGGGUCCGGUAUUGGGAGCUCUUUGUCAUCGGGUUACCAUCUCGACAGAUGCUUCCCUUACCGGCUGGGGAGCGGUAAUGGAAGGCCGCUCAGCUCAGGGUCUGUGGGAGAGCCAUCAUCACUCUUGGCACAUCAACUGCCUGGAGAUGAUGGCUGUCUUCAAGCUUUGAGGCACUUCCUGCCAGACCUGAGGGACCAUCAUGUGCUGGUCCGCACAGACAAUACAUCGGUGGUCUCUUACAUCAACCGUCAGGGGGGUCUGCGCUCGCGCCCACUCUGCAAAUUAGCGCACCAGAUCCUCCUGUGGUCUCUGGGGAAAUUACGCUCUCUGAGGGCGAUGUAUAUACCAGGGACUCAGAAUAUUGGAGCAGACACCCUGUCGAGGCAGGUGCUGAGGCCAGGGGAAUGGAGGCUUCACCCGGAGGUGGUGGAGCUCAUAUGGGAAUGUUAUGGCCAAGCAGAAGUGGAUCUGUUCGCUUCUCAGUACACGACGCACUGUCCACUAUGGUUCUCCCUUACUCAUCCAGCCCCCCUGGGGUUGGACGCUAUGGUACAGACGUGGCCGAGGCUACGUCUGUACGCCUUUCCCCCUGUUGCUCUGCUCCCAGGAGUUCUGGAGAGAGUCCGCCAGGACGGAGUAAGUCUACUUCUCGUAGCUCCACACUGGCCGAGUCGAAUCUGGUUUGCGGACCUGAUUCAUCUCCUCGACGGUUCUCCCUUGGAGAUCCCGAUCAGGAAAGACCUUCUAUCUCAGGCCGGGGGCACUAUAUUUCACCCCCGGCCAGAGAUUUGGAAGCUUUGGGUGUGGCCUCUGAGGGAGCGCAACUCAUAG